This 68-nucleotide transfer RNA is filed under the name Gonodactylellus affinis. Its description in RNAcentral is "tRNA-Ile". The record is from RNAcentral. Lineage: Eukaryota; Metazoa; Arthropoda; Malacostraca; Stomatopoda; Gonodactylidae.
AAUGAAGUGCCUGAAAAAGGAUUAUCUUGAUAGGAUAAAUUAUGUAGACACGAAUAUUUACCUUCAUU